This 251-nucleotide small RNA is filed under the name Salmonella enterica subsp. enterica serovar Typhi. RNAcentral describes it as "StyR-281". Lineage: Bacteria; Pseudomonadati; Pseudomonadota; Gammaproteobacteria; Enterobacterales; Enterobacteriaceae. The record is from RNAcentral.
CCACCUCAAUGUAGAGACGUCAUUCUACCACUGCUACACGGGAAGGAAAUCUCUGGUGUAAAACGUUUACCAGGGAAUAAAUUUAUUGAUGGCGCAAAUACCGCUGAAAAAUUGUACAUCCUGAUCGCACAUGAUAUUAAACACCUGCGCCCACAGCAACAGGCAUACUACCACCACGAUGCCGAGAACGACCCAUCGAAAUUUUUUCACUCCACUCUCCGAUCUUACAUCUUAUGUCGCUAAAUUAUCAU